RNAcentral lists this small RNA (107 nucleotides) under Brucella ovis ATCC 25840. RNAcentral describes it as "Alphaproteobacterial ar15". It matches the Rfam family "Alphaproteobacterial ar15". Lineage: Bacteria; Pseudomonadati; Pseudomonadota; Alphaproteobacteria; Hyphomicrobiales; Brucellaceae. The record is from Rfam by way of RNAcentral.
ACUUACCGUUGUGCCUCCUCCCAUUGCGCACGGUAAGUGUUCCCCUCUGGAGGUUUGCCCAAGUGGCACCUUCAUAACUUGGCCGGACUUCCCAGUCCGACUCUUUU